AUACGUAGGGGGCAAGCGUUAUCCGGAAUUAUUGGGCGUAAAGCGUGCGUAGGUGGUUACCUAAGCGCAAGGUUUAAUCUUGAGGCUCAACCUCAUUCUGCCUUGCGAACUGGGCUACUUGAGUGCUGGAGGGGAAAGCGGAAUUCCUAGUGUAGCGGUGAAAUGCGUAGAUAUUAGGAAGAACACCGGUGGCGAAGGCGGCUUUCUGGACAGUAACUGACACUGAGGCACGAAAGCGUGGGGAGCAAACAGGAUUAGAUACCCUGGGAGUCCACGCCGUAAACGAUGAGCACUAGUUGUUGGGUCCGAAUGGAUUCAGUGACGCAGUUAACGCAAUAAGUGCUCCGCCUGGGGAGUACGGUGGCAACACUAAAACUCAAAUGAAUCGGCGGGG
This 394-nucleotide ribosomal RNA is filed under the name uncultured bacterium. RNAcentral describes it as "partial 16S ribosomal RNA". It matches the Rfam family "Bacterial small subunit ribosomal RNA", at positions 523 to 918 of the family's 1533-position model. The record is from RNAcentral.